This is a long non-coding RNA of Oncorhynchus tshawytscha (Chinook salmon), 530 nucleotides long. NCBI's taxonomy places the organism in Eukaryota, Metazoa, Chordata, Actinopteri, Salmoniformes, Salmonidae. The record is from Ensembl.
GGUGUAUAUAAAGGUGUGGUGUGUAUAGAGGUAUAUAUAGGUGUAUAUAGAGGUGUGUGUAUAUAGAGGUGUGUGUAUAGAGCUGUAUAUAGAGGUGUAUAUAGAGGUGUGGUGUAUAUAGAGGUGUGUGUAUAGAGAUGUAUAUAGGUGUAUAUAGAGUUGUGGUGUGUAUAGAGGUGCAUAUAGAGGUGUGAUGUGUAUAGAGGUGUAUAUAGAGGUGUGGUGUGUAUAGAGGUGCGUAUAGAGGUGUAUAUAGAGGUGUGGUGUGUAUAGAGGUGCGUAUAGAGGUGUAUAUAGAGGUGUGGUGUGUAUAGAGGUGUGUGUAGAGAUGUAUAUAGGUGUAUAUAGAGGUGUGGUGUGUAUAGAGGUGAAUAUAGAGGUUUGGUGUGUAUAGAGGUGUAUAUAGAGGUGUGGUGUGUAUAGAGAUGUAUAUAGGUGUAUAUAGAGGUGUGGUGUGUAUAUAGGUGUAUAUAGAGGUGUGUGUAGAGGUGUGGUGUGUAUAUAGGUGUAUAUAGAGGUGUGGUGUGUAU